Molecule: ribosomal RNA, 497 nt
Filed under: uncultured bacterium
Lineage: Bacteria
Description: partial 16S ribosomal RNA
Rfam family: Bacterial small subunit ribosomal RNA
Source: RNAcentral
GAUGAACGCUGGCGGCGUGCCUAAUACAUGCAAGUCGAGCGAACAGACGAGGAGCUUGCUCCUCUUACGUUAGCGGCUGACGUGUGAUUAACACGUGGAUAACCUACCUAUAAUACUUUUAUAACUUCGGGAAACCUGAUCUAAUACCGGAUAACAUGUUUAACCGCAUUGUUCAACAGUUCAAUACGGUUUUUCUGUCACUUAUAGAUUGAUCCGCGUCGCAUUAGCUAGUUGGUAAGGUAACGGCUUACCAAGGCAACGAUGCGUAGCCGACCUGAGAGGGUGAUCGGACACACUGGAACGGAGAAACGGUCCAGACUCCUACGGGAGGCAGCAGUAGGGAAUAUUACGCAAUGGGCGAAAGCAUGACGGAGCAAAGCCGAGUGAGUGAAGAAGGUCUUCGGAUCGUAAAACUCUGUUAUUAGGGAAGAAAAAAUGUGUAAGUAAAUAUGCACGUAUUGACGGUAACUAAUCAGAAAGCAACGGCUAACUACGUG